AAACCAUGGUGAGGACAUUGCGUCUGAUAUCCCUUGAAGCGCUCCCAUGCUUCACAGAAGGUUUUAGCAUUCUUCUGAGUGAAUCCGGAUAUCUCAUACUGGAGUCU
This is a non-coding RNA of Arabidopsis suecica, 107 nucleotides long. Lineage: Eukaryota; Viridiplantae; Streptophyta; Magnoliopsida; Brassicales; Brassicaceae. The record is from the annotation of a GenBank genome assembly.